AAACCACCCCCGAGUCAAUCGACCACGCCUCGCACCCCCAUCUGGAUCCGCCGCCUCCCCACCGCCGGCCCGCAUCAUCCGUCGCGCCCUCCUCCCCGUGUCUCCGAGUCCUCCGCGUGCAGCUUGCCGACGUCGAGGCCCAGGCCGCCGCGCUCCGGGAUCGCGCCGGCCGUCUCGAGCGCGUGCCGCCGACUGCGAUGGGCUGCUCGGCACACUCCGCGCCGCCACGGGCAACAGGUGGUAGGACGAGGAGAGGGUGGUGGAGACAGCGAAGGAGCUGGUAGGAGGAGGAGGAGAGGAAGGUGGAGGCGGCAGAGGAGCCAGUAGGAGUACGAGAGGGAGGUGGAGGCGGCGGAUGAGGGAACGGGGAUGACGGGGACAGAUCGGACUACACACCGGAGGACGAGGGCAUCACACCGCCUACCGAUUCCUUCUUCCUCGCGUCCCGGUUACAUGGCCGUCGCUGCAGUCGCCCAACAUCGACCACCUUGCCCCGAUUAGCUCUUGGAUACGCGGACGACCGGAUGUGCUCCAGCGCGGCCGCCUAUGGGCUGGUCCCACAAUGAAUCGACAACUAAGCUCGGGGACGUGAUAUGGUGCUCGGUGUAGGUGGCCAUGGUGGACCUGAAGCUGGCUUAGAUAAGCGAUGGGAUCGAGCGGCGGCGCUCCCGAUCUGAUCGGGAGCAGGAUGACGACGGCGAGCACAUGGCGGACGAGAGGAGCAGGAGGGGAGGCGCGGAGGCGGGGCCAUAUGUGUCGGACGCGCGCGUUCGCCCGCAGUCAACGCGGACACAGCGGCCGUCCAUGGCGGCUCGGGUCGAUGUAGGAGGACGAGGGGAGGAGCUUGCGAGGCCCGACACCGGUAAUGGAGCGGAGGCGGCUGGAUCUGGCAAUUCUGGAGGGGCUGGCGACGAGCGGCUCCAUGGGCGGCGACCUGCGGGGUUCAAGCGGCGGCUGAAGGUUUGUCAGAUAUACUUCCAUUUUAUGCAUGGGUUGAUCCCUCCCCUGGAUACUGUCAAGGUUUGCAUUUCAAUGGAGCAUUGCAUCAUUUUGCUUUAAUUAUUUAAACUGUCUAAAUGGUACAAGUUGAGUGUAGGUAUGAGCGAUCUGGUUUCCUCUUUUGUUGUUCUAUACGAGGAUGAUCCAGAUGCCUUUUGGUGUUUUGAGAUGCUACUGAGAAGGAUGGUAAUUUGUAUCUAUGUCAAACCAUACUGGCAUACGUUAGGUUGGUAUUUUUGCAUGACUUAAUGCAUGAUAUAAAUUCUGUUGCAUCUCAGCGUGAAAAUUUCCACCUCGAGGGACCGACAGGAGUUAUGAAGCGGUUGGAAGCAUUGUGGAAGAUCAUGGAAUUGACAGAUACGGAACUAAUAAACUGGCAAGGAUCAAACAGGCAAAUGGAGUCCUAAUUUUCUAUUGGAAGUUCACAUGACAUGGUUCUAUGUUUGAGGCUUCAACAGACUGCGUAUGCCUCAAGAUUUGAGGUGUGAGUGUGCGACUUGAUUUUCUGUGUUGUUACAGUUAAUCGGUAGUGGAUAAGUCAAAUUUUGUUAUGUAGAUUGGUAAAACUAAUUAAGUUAAUUUUUUCUUAUUUAUGGGUUAUAAUUUAUUACUCCAAAAGCAGAUUUGUGUAUGUUAAAUACAUUUUCAUAGGGAUAUAAGACUAGAAGUGUGGAUGUUUGUCAAUUUUCAGAGGGAAAUAAGCAACAGAAUAGACAUAAAAACAUGGCUGCUUUGGGAAAUUUUGGAUGUUACCCAUGGCUCAUGCAUGAUGGUAGUUGUUGCGAAGAUCAUCUUAUCUAUCCAUCAUGAAUCAUCCCAGCACAACAAAUUGUCUAUUUAGUUCAUCACAAACACCAGUAUCACAGGGAUAAUGGAGGUA
This is a long non-coding RNA of Triticum aestivum (bread wheat), 1879 nucleotides long. RefSeq lists it as uncharacterized. The transcript is spliced from 3 exons. Lineage: Eukaryota; Viridiplantae; Streptophyta; Magnoliopsida; Poales; Poaceae. The record is from RefSeq and is a predicted model, not a curated record.